GUUUACAAAUCUGGCGGACUCCUACUCAAAACAAUCCACUUGCACACUGAAGGAAAGCCUAGAGAGUGAGCUAGACCCCGAGGAAUUGAAGCUUUGGCUGGGAAUCCCUCCUGCAGUUCCGUUGGCUGGCAGAGGGCACGGUGCCCUGGUCAACAAUGCCCUAGUCUGUAUCAGUGGAAGAGAGGGAUUCCCGUCAAGGAGCCCAGGAUGCACUUACUAAAAGUACAGCUUCAUCGAGAUAUAAUUCCUAUAUUAUAAAAUUCCCUCACUUAAAGCAAAAAUCACUCAGUGAUUUUUAGUGUAUUCAUAGAGUUGUCAACCAUCAACUGAUUGGUCAAUUGAUUGUGGAAUCAAUUUGAGAAUAUUUUCAUCACUCCAAGAAGAAAUUCUAUAUCCAUCCGUUUCUACCCAUUUUCCUCAAUUCACUUCCAGGCCAGUGCUGUAUUAACCGUGUUUCUGAUGUUUUGACAUCUGGUGCCUUGCUGACCCUGGAGAGACCAUGCCUCCGGGGCCAGCCAGUUCCUGCAGACAGUGAACAGCUGGCCUGUAAGUGAGCCUUUCAUACACAAACCAAGUCCGGAGCCCACAGGCCCAGCUACCCACCUGGGACGGUAUUCCUCUAUCCUAGUCAUCCCAGGGCCAGGUACUGAAAUCCCAGAACCUGCUGAAAUUAUUCAAACUAGCCAAUCCUAAACCUGUUUAACCUGUCUCACCGGUUACUUC
Molecule: long non-coding RNA, 723 nt
Organism: Canis lupus familiaris (dog)
Lineage: Eukaryota; Metazoa; Chordata; Mammalia; Carnivora; Canidae
Exons: 3
Source: RefSeq, a predicted model, not a curated record